GUGGAACUGGGGGUUGGUCAGAAUGAGUUCAAAAUUGAUUUUUAAUUCUGCCAUUUUUGGUUUUAUUGGACACCCUGGGUAAUGCAGAGCUGGGGGUUGGUCAGAAUGAGCUCAGUUUUUGAUUUUUAAUUUUGCCUUUUUUGUGUUUUAUUGCAGGUACUGAGCAGAGAGAGAAGGCGAGGAAGGAUCUGCCAGAGAAAAAGGACCGAAAUUCCUCCAAAUCCCCCCCAGGGAAUUGCCGGGAGCAGAAAGGAGCAGCGAGGGAGAGGAGGAGGAGCCGGGAUGAGCCCGAGGGGGCGGAAAUGCAGGAAAAGGUGACCGAGCCCCAGAGGGCAGAAGGCAAAGGUUCCACGCUGGAGCAGCCUCCGAGUGAGUUUUAUUUUGCUUUUUUUUCCUUUUAAUCAAGUCUGAGCCACUUCUUCCUCUGCUGUGCCGUAAUUAAUGACCAGAAGUUAAUUUCCUGUCAUUUCCACAACAAUGAGCAAUCAGCUUUUACUUCUUCCUUUGACACUUCUCUGUUUCUGUCUCAAUUCCUCAGUGCUUUUGCAAUUUCAAUCUCCUUGACUGAAUCCAGAACUGAAACUGGAAUUAAAGAGUAAAAUCUGAAAAUGCUUUCCCUCCUCCUGACAAAUUAAACAGGAAUUCUUUAUUUCAAUAUUUACAAUUCAUUUGUGGUUAACAAAUGCUCCAUCAAAAAAUAAUUCUGCAGGUGUAGAGGAAAGAGGCCAUGAAAUAUUUGUCAGGGUGGAUUUUUAGCUGCAGACUUGCAGAGUUGUGUGGUUUCUUGCUCAUGUUUGGG
Molecule: long non-coding RNA, 799 nt
Filed under: Zonotrichia albicollis (white-throated sparrow)
Lineage: Eukaryota; Metazoa; Chordata; Aves; Passeriformes; Passerellidae
Description: lncRNA (ENSZALG00000008028.1)
Source: RNAcentral